This 1321-nucleotide ribosomal RNA is filed under the name Microbacterium esteraromaticum. RNAcentral's name for it is "bacterial SSU rRNA". It matches the Rfam family "Bacterial small subunit ribosomal RNA", at positions 55 to 1383 of the family's 1533-position model. Lineage: Bacteria; Bacillati; Actinomycetota; Actinomycetes; Micrococcales; Microbacteriaceae. The record is from RNAcentral.
AUGCAAGUCGAACUGAUGAAGCUCCAGCUUGCUGGGGUGCGGAAUUAGUGGCGAACGGGUGAGUAACACGUGAGCAACCUGCCCCUGACUCUGGGAUAAGCGCUGGAAACGGUGUCUAAUACUGGAUAUGUCCCAUCACCGCAUGGUGUGUGGGUGGAAAGAUUUUUCGGUUGGGGAUGGGCUCGCGGCCUAUCAGCUUGUUGGUGAGGUAAUGGCUCACCAAGGCGUCGACGGGUAGCCGGCCUGAGAGGGUGACCGGCCACACUGGGCUGAGACACGGCCCAGACUCCUACGGGAGGCAGCAGUGGGGAAUAUUGCACAAUGGGCGGAAGCCUGAUAGCAGCAACCCGCGUGAGGGAUGACGGCCUUCGGGUUGUAAACCUCUUUUAGCAGGGAAGAAGCGAGAGUGACGGUACCUGAGAAAAAGCGCCGGCUAACUACGUGCCAGCAGCCGCCGGUAAUACGUAGGGCGCAAGCGUUAUCCGGAAUUAUUGGGCGUAAAGAGCUCGUAGGCGGUUUGUCGCGUCUGCUGUGAAAUCCCGAGGCUCAACCUCGGGCUUGCAGUGGGUACGGGCAGACUAGAGUGCGGUAGGGCUAAUUGGAAUUCCUGGUGUAGCGGUGGAAUGCGCAGAUAUCAGCUAGAACACCGAUGGCGAAGGCAGAUCUCUGGGCCGUAACUGACCGCUCUACUACGAAAGGGUGGGGAGCAAACAGGCUUAGAUACCCUGGUAGUCCACCCCGUAAACGUUGGGAACUAGUUGUGGGGUCCUUUCCACGGAUUCCGUGACGCAGCUUACGCAUUAAGUUCCCCGCCUGGGGAGUACGGCCGCAAGGCUAAAACUCAAAGGAAUUGACGGGGACCCGCACAAGCGGCGGAGCAUGCGGAUUAAUUCGAUGCAACGCGAAGAACCUUACCAAGGCUUGACUACACGAGAACGGGCCAGAAAUGGUCAACUCUUUGGACACUCGUGAACAGGUGGUGCAUGGUUGUCGUCAGCACGUGUCGUGAGAUGUUGGGUUAAGUCCCGCAACGAGCGCAACCCUCGUUCUAUGUUGCCAGCACGUAUUGGUGGGAACUCAUGGGAUACUGCCGGGGUCAACUCGGAGGAAGGUGGGGAUGACGUCAAAUCAUCAUGCCCCUUAUGUCUUGGGCUUCACGCAUGCUACAAUGGCCGGUACAAUGGGCUGCAAUACCGUCUAGUGGAGCGAAUCCCAAAAAGCCGGUCCAGUUCGGAUUGAGGUCUGCAACUCGACCUCAUGAAGUCGCUAUCGCUAGUAAUCGCAGAUCAGCAACGCUGCGGUGAAUACGUUCCCGGGUUUG